GGCCUCGUGGCCCAAUGGCAAGGCGCUUGACUACGAUCAGAUUUUGGAAUCAAGAGAUUCUGGGUUCGACCCCCAGCGAGGUCA
Molecule: non-coding RNA, 84 nt
Organism: Ascosphaera aggregata
Lineage: Eukaryota; Fungi; Ascomycota; Eurotiomycetes; Onygenales; Ascosphaeraceae
Source: the annotation of a GenBank genome assembly